RNAcentral lists this transfer RNA (89 nucleotides) under Alphaproteobacteria bacterium. Its description in RNAcentral is "tRNA-Leu". It matches the Rfam family "tRNA". From Rfam's summary of the family: Transfer RNA (tRNA) molecules are approximately 80 nucleotides in length. Their secondary structure includes four short double-helical elements and three loops (D, anti-codon, and T loops). The record is from RNAcentral. RNAcentral also lists the same sequence under 2 other names. Lineage: Bacteria; Pseudomonadati; Pseudomonadota; Alphaproteobacteria.
GCCCAGGUGGCGGAAUUGGUAGACGCGUCGGCUUCAGGUGCCGGUGACCUUUAACGGUCGUGGAAGUUCGAGUCUUCUUCUGGGCACCA